UUCAUGUUUUGUUAUAUAUAUAUACACAUGUAUACACAUAUAUAUUAGAUCACUAUUGUAGAUGAUAGGCUUUAUAUAUAUGAUUAAUAAAUAAAUUCACAUAUAGGAAAAAAAAAGUUAACACAACAUUAUGCAAUUUCCCAGAGCUCUGAAUAACUGCUUGGAGCAAGCCUUGCCAAUAGAAAUCUCAGCAGGGAAUUAGCAGGUGCUGCCUCUACAGAUGGUUUGAGAAGCCAAGGCUUUGGUCUGGGGCAAUGAGAAAAGAGAGAUUUGGGGCUUCUCACUAUUCCUGAAUAACUGUGAAUUUGGAAUGAUACUUUUAGCCACCAUAUAACCUGGGAGGGUUGGCAGCCUAGAAACACUUGUGUAUAGUUACAGGGUAGGAAUGGGUAGAGAAGAGAGGUUGGUGUCAAUGUGGAGGCCUCUAGUAAACUGAGCUUUUGAUUUCCACACUGGACAACGAGGGCCACAUAAGCGAUAUUCUUCUAAUACAAUCAAUGAAUUUUCAGAGUUCCCUUAAAAAUCGUUUCCAUUGUAAAUUUGACUUGACCUUGUUUCCUCAUGACUGCCACCACUAAACCUCAAUUGUCUUUACUUCUUUCUGGGUAGGGAGCUUUAGUUUCAUACAGUUAGUUUUUCACUGUAUUCCUUCUAGUGAAUAUUGUAAAAGUUUUAUUUCUCUUCUACAGAAUAGAAUAUGCUUGCUUCAAUGUCCUUGGCCGCAAAACUUAGGUAUCCGCAGAUUCUUCCACAAAUCCCACCUCAGGGCUUUGGAACUUUAUUUCCUCUGCUGAGAAUGCAGUUCUUCCAUAUAUCUUCUGACUUGUACAUGUACUUCCUUCCAGAAUGGACUUAACUCUCACCUCAUCAGAGAUGCCUCUCUGAGUAAAAUAGCAUUGCCUCACCUGGUCUCCAUCCUAUGUGUAAUAUACUUUUCUUCAUAGAAUCUAAGUAGCUGGGAUAUUAUUAUCUUUGAUGUUGAUGCUGUUGUUAUCUUGUGUCUCCCCUAAUAGAAUGUAGGCUCCAUGAUGGCAGGAACUAUUUUUUUUAAUUGUAUUGCCAGCAUAGGGAAUGGUUCUUUAAUUCUAGUUGACUCUCAGUAGGUUUUUCCAAUUUUAAAUGAUGAAGAAGAUAAAUGAAUAAAUGAAUGAAUGAGAGAUGUGAAAUGUGUUCAAGCUCAGUGGUUCACUAAAUGUAAGUAAUUUACAGAUCACAGUAGAUAGAAGAGAAACAAUAGGUAACAGACAGCCAUGGCAUAUUUCUGGUUGGAUUCAGAACAGAGUUAUCAGGGAAAUAAUAUAUAUAUGAGAACUUGCUUAUUUCCUCAUAUGGUUUGGUUGUGUCCCCACCAAAUCUCAUCUUAAAUUAUAACUUCCACAAUUCCCAUAUGUUGUGGGAGGAACCCUUUGGGAGGUAAUUGAAUUAUGGGGGUAGCUUUUUUCUG
This 1444-nucleotide long non-coding RNA is filed under the name Callithrix jacchus (white-tufted-ear marmoset). Its description in RNAcentral is "lncRNA (ENSCJAG00000073150.1)". The record is from RNAcentral. Lineage: Eukaryota; Metazoa; Chordata; Mammalia; Primates; Cebidae.